Molecule: non-coding RNA, 67 nt
Organism: Gymnothorax javanicus (giant moray)
Lineage: Eukaryota; Metazoa; Chordata; Actinopteri; Anguilliformes; Muraenidae
Source: the annotation of a GenBank genome assembly
UCCUGGUAGCAUAGCAGGAGAGUUCCUGCCUUCUACGCAGGAGACCUAGGUUCAAAUCCUAUACAAA